GAUGAACGCUGGCGGCGUGCCUAAUACAUGCAAGUCGAGCGAACGGACGAGAAGCUUGCUUUUCUGAUGCUAGCGGCGGACGGGUGAGUAACACGUGGAUAACCUACCUAUAAGACUGGGAUAACUUCGGGAAACCGGAGCUAAUACCGGAUAAUAUUUUGAACCGCAUGGUUCAAAAGUGAAAGACGGUAUUGCUGUCACUUAUAGAUGGAUCCGCGCUGCAUUAGCUAGUUGGUAAGGUAACGGCUUACCAAGGCAACGAUGCAUAGCCGACCUGAGAGGGUGAUCGGCCACACUGGAACUGAGACACGGUCCAGACUCCUACGGGAGGCAGCAGUAGGGAAUCUUCCGCAAUGGGCGAAAGCCUGACGGAGCAACGCCGCGUGAGUGAUGAAGGUCUUCGGAUCGUAAAACUCUGUUAUUAGGGAAGAACAUAUGUGUAAGUAACUGUGCACAUCUUGACGGUACCUAAUCAGAAAGCCACGGCUAACUACGUG
This 497-nucleotide ribosomal RNA is filed under the name uncultured bacterium. RNAcentral's name for it is "partial 16S ribosomal RNA". It matches the Rfam family "Bacterial small subunit ribosomal RNA", at positions 28 to 507 of the family's 1533-position model. The record is from RNAcentral.